CGAUCUGCUGCGGGCAGAUGAAGUGGAUAUGCGCGUCAAAGCCCCCCGCCGUCAGGAUUUUUCCUUCCCCGGCAAUGGCUUCCGUGCCGGGGCCGAUGAUGAUGUCGACCCCGGGCUGGGUAUCGGGAUUGCCGGCCUUGCCGAUCUUGGCGAUGCGCCCGUCGCGCAGCCCCACAUCGGCCUUGUAGAUGCCCGAGUGGUCGACGAUCAGCGCAUUGGUGAUGACCGUGUCAACCGCGCCCUCGGCCCGGCUGUAUUGCGACUGGCCCAUGCCGUCGCG
This 280-nucleotide small RNA is filed under the name uncultured Acidimangrovimonas sp. Its description in RNAcentral is "5' ureB small RNA". It matches the Rfam family "5' ureB small RNA". Lineage: Bacteria; Pseudomonadati; Pseudomonadota; Alphaproteobacteria; Rhodobacterales; Paracoccaceae. The record is from RNAcentral.